GACGAACGCUGGCGGCGCGCCUAACACAUGCAAGUCGAACGGACCUGCGAGAAGCUUGCUUUUCUUAGCUUAGUGGCGAACGGGUGAGUAACGCGUGAGUAACCUGCCUUGGAGUGGGGGACAACAUUUGGAAACGACUGCUAAUACCGCAUAAUCUCUCGAUCCGCCUUCGUCUUUAGUGAAAAGGAUUUUUUCUCUUCAGGAUGGACUCGAGUCCAAUUCGCUAGUUGGUGGGUUAACUGCCCACCAACGCGACGAUUGGUAGCCGGACUGAGAGGUUGAACGGACACAUUGGGGCUGAGACACAGCCCAGAAUCCUACGGGAGGCAGCAGUGGGGGAUAUAGCAAAAUGGGGGAAACGCUGAUGGAGCGACGACGGGAGGAGGAAGAAGGUUUUCGGAUUGUAAACUCCUGUCGUUAGGGACGAUAAUGACGGUACCUAACAAGAAAGCACCGGCUAACUACGUG
This 468-nucleotide ribosomal RNA is filed under the name uncultured bacterium. Its description in RNAcentral is "partial 16S ribosomal RNA". It matches the Rfam family "Bacterial small subunit ribosomal RNA", at positions 28 to 507 of the family's 1533-position model. The record is from RNAcentral.